This is an RNA transcript of Ochotona princeps (American pika), 1974 nucleotides long. It is a transcript of the gene named THUMP domain containing 1, with no coding region annotated. Lineage: Eukaryota; Metazoa; Chordata; Mammalia; Lagomorpha; Ochotonidae. The transcript is spliced from 6 exons. The record is from RefSeq and is a predicted model, not a curated record.
GAGGAGACUUUUGUCUCACCUCAGCCGCAGCAUGGCCGACUGCGCCCAACAACCCGCCCAGGCUGGUGGGGGGAAGCGCAAAAAUAGGGCCCAGUACGUACAGGCCAAGCGAGCUCGGCGCUGCGACGGCGGCGGGCCCAGGCAGUUGGAGCCCGGGUUACAGGGCAUCCUCAUCACGUGCAACAUGAACGAGCGCAAGUGCGUGGAGGAGGCCUACAGCCUGCUCAACGAGUACGGCGACGACAUGUAUGGGCCAGAAAAGUUUACAGACAAGGAUCUGCAGCCCUCUGGCAGUGAGGGAGAUGACGAUGACGCAGAGGCUGCUCUGAAGAAAGAAGUUGGUGACCUUAAGGCGUCUACGGAGAUGAGGCUGAGAAGAUUCCAGUCAGUGGAAAGUGGAGCAAAUAACGUAGUGUUCAUCAGGACACUCGGGAUAGAACCUGAGAAAUUAGUGCAUCAUAUUCUCCAGGAUAUGUAUAAAACUAAGAAGAAAAAAACCCGAGUCAUCUUGCGAAUGUUACCCAUCUCGGGCACAUGCAAAGCUUUCUUGGAAGAUAUGAAAAAAUAUGCGGAAACAUUCCUGGAACCUUGGUUUAAAGCUCCAAACAAAGGGACAUUUCAAAUUGUAUACAAAUCUCGAAAUAAUAGUCAUGUCAAUAGAGAAGAAGUUAUCAAAGAAUUAGCAGGAGUCGUGGGGAGCCUCAAUUCGGAAAAUAAAGUGGAUCUCACGAAUCCACAGUACACCGUGGUAGUAGAAAUCAUCAAAGCUGUCUGUUGCUUGAGUGUUGUGAAAGAUUACAUACUAUUCAGAAAGUACAAUCUCCAGGAGGUGGUGAAGAGCGCCAAGGACCCAUCCCAGCUCCACACAAAGCAAGGAAAUGGGAAAGAAGUAAAACUGGAAUCUGAUGACAGGUUGAAUCAGAAUGAUCCAGCAGCUAGGGAAGAUAACCAGCAGGGCGUGGCAGACAGUAGUGAGGAGCCCAGGCAGACAAAUCCGACCUCAGAGACUCAGGUGGCACAAGAGGGAGGAACUAAACCUGAAUCUGCCAGUCAAAUCACAGAUGGACCCAAGUCAGAUACAACUGAUGUCUCAUAGGAGGUAACUGGUUGUUGGUGGUACGGUUUUCAGUGAGUUCCAGGCAAAUUGUCAACUGCAAAUGUUUUUGACCUUUGUGUGCUGCAUAAUGCUAUUCUUAAAAGUAUUGAUCUCAUGCAGGAAGCCCUGUAAUAGUAAUAGAUCUUUCAGUCCUACAUGGCAGCGUGUUAAGAUCCACAACUGCUGCAAGGAGGGUACUUGCUACCAAUAGGAGGAUGACUUUGGCUUCUCCUUCAUGAUUACCUCCCAGCUUCCCCUUUGACACUGCCAGCUGACCCAGGGGAGUUGACAAGCUUGCUGAAAUGAAAGAAUCUUAGGAAAAUUUAUUCACUCUAAAGAAGCAAUUUUUAUGUUUUUGUGUACUCUUAUUCGUGUUGUAGAAGCAUAGAUUGGGUGGGUUAGAAAUGAUUUAUUUGGUGUUUUUGUAUUUGCGUUUUUCUUGUUAGCUCUAUUUUUAAUAUUUUAACAUUUCUUUGUAUAAAAAACUCCCGACAGUUCAUUGCUGCAGUUUUUGAAGGCAAGAUGUGAGGUGGAAGAGGACGAUCUUAGGCAUAGACCUACAGACAUUGCUGAUAAGACACAUGAAGAGUUAUGGAUUGCAAAUGUCAGGGAUCGUCUUUGAAUGAAGUUUGGAUGCAAUUAUAAAAACUUACCAGUGUUUCUGCAGAUGUACCUGCCAACUUUAUAGAAGUACAAAUACUUAAUUUCAUUUUGGAAACUGCCAUCUGGAGUCCUGAACCGUCUGAGGCACUCAGACUUGCUAGAUGCCUGUACUAAACACACCUGUUUCACUGUGGGUGACAUUUUUUCCAGCUUCAGAUAAUAAAGUUAUUUUUUACCACAAUUUAAGCCAAAAUAAAUUAUGCUAUUUUAAAUGA